Molecule: ribosomal RNA, 1008 nt
Filed under: Lacticaseibacillus rhamnosus
Lineage: Bacteria; Bacillati; Bacillota; Bacilli; Lactobacillales; Lactobacillaceae
Description: bacterial SSU rRNA
Rfam family: Bacterial small subunit ribosomal RNA
Source: RNAcentral
AUGAAAGUGCUGCAUCUGAUUAAUUUGACGAGUGGCGGACGGGUGAGUAACACGUGGGUAACCUGCCCUUAAGUGGGGGAUAACAUUUGGAAACAGAUGUCUAAUACCGCAUAAAUCCAAGAACCGCAUGGUUCUUGGCUGAAAGAUGGCGUAAGCUAUCGCUUUUGGAUGGACCCGCGGCGUAUUAGCUAGUUGGUGAGGUAACGGCUCACCAAGGCAAUGAUACGUAGCCGAACUGAGAGGUUGAUCGGCCACAUUGGGACUGAGACACGGCCCAAACUCCUACGGGAGGCAGCAGUAGGGAAUCUUCCACAAUGGACGCAAGUCUGAUGGAGCAACGCCGCGUGAGUGAAGAAGGCUUUCGGGUCGUAAAACUCUGUUGUUGGAGAAGAAUGGUCGGCAGAGUAACUGUUGUCGGCGUGACGGUAUCCAACCAGAAAGCCACGGCUAACUACGUGCCAGCAGCCGCGGUAAUACGUAGGUGGCAAGCGUUAUCCGGAUUUAUUGGGCGUAAAGCGAGCGCAGGCGGUUUUUUAAGUCUGAUGUGAAAGCCCUCGGCUUAACCGAGGAAGUGCAUCGGAAACUGGGAAACUUGAGUGCAGAAGAGGACAGUGGAACUCCAUGUGUAGCGGUGAAAUGCGUAGAUAUAUGGAAGAACACCAGUGGCGAAGGCGGCUGUCUGGUCUGUAACUGACGCUGAGGCUCGAAAGCAUGGGUAGCGAACAGGAUUAGAUACCCUGGUAGUCCAUGCCGUAAACGAUGAAUGCUAGGUGUUGGAGGGUUUCCGCCCUUCAGUGCCGCAGCUAACGCAUUAAGCAUUCCGCCUGGGGAGUACGACCGCAAGGUUGAAACUCAAAGGAAUUGACGGGGGCCCGCACAAGCGGUGGAGCAUGUGGUUUAAUUCGAAGCAACGCGAAGAACCUUACCAGGUCUUGACAUCUUUUGAUCACCUGAGAGAUCAGGUUUCCCCUUCGGGGGCAAAAUGACAGGUGGUGCAUGGUUGUCGUC